Molecule: ribosomal RNA, 253 nt
Filed under: uncultured bacterium
Lineage: Bacteria
Description: partial 16S ribosomal RNA
Rfam family: Bacterial small subunit ribosomal RNA
Source: RNAcentral
UACAGAGGUCCCGAGCGUUGUUCGGAUUCAUUGGGCGUAAAGGGUGUGUAGGAGGUCUUGUAAGUCGGGCGUGAAAUCUCACCGCUUAACGGUGAAACUGCGUUCGAUACUGCUUGGCUAGAGGAUCGGAGGGGGUAUCGGAAUUCAUGGUGUAGCAGUGAAAUGCGUAGAUAUCAUGAGGAACACCGGUGGCGAAAGCGGAUACCUGGAAGAUUCCUGACUCUGAAACACGAAAGCUAGGGGAGCAAACGGG